AUUGAACGCUGGCGGCAUGCUUUACACAUGCAAGUCGAACGGCAGCGCGGGCUUCGGCCUGGCGGCGAGUGGCGAACGGGUGAGUAAUGCAUCGGAACGUGCCCAGUAGUGGGGGAUAGCCCGGCGAAAGCCGGAUUAAUACCGCAUACGACCUGAGGGUGAAAGCGGGGGACCGAAAGGCCUCGCGCUAUUGGAGCGGCCGAUGUCGGAUUAGCUAGUUGGUGGGGUAAAGGCUUACCAAGGCGACGAUCCGUAGCUGGUCUGAGGGGACGACCAGCCACACUGGGACUGAGACACGGCCCAGACUCCUACGGGAGGCAGCAGUGGGGAAUUUUGGACAAAGGGGGCAACCCUGAUCCAGCCAUGCCGCGUGCGGGAAGAAGGCCUUCGGGUUGUAAACCGCUUUUGUUCGGGAAGAAAUCCUCUGGGCUAAUACCCCGGGGGGAUGACGGUACCGGAAGAAUAAGCACCGGCUAACUACGUG
This 484-nucleotide ribosomal RNA is filed under the name uncultured bacterium. RNAcentral describes it as "partial 16S ribosomal RNA". It matches the Rfam family "Bacterial small subunit ribosomal RNA", at positions 28 to 507 of the family's 1533-position model. The record is from RNAcentral.